UACGAAGGGUGCAAGCGUUACUCGGAAUUACUGGGAGUAAAGCGUGCGUAGGCGGUUUGUUAAGUCUGUCGUGAAAGCCCCGGGCUCAACCUGGGAAUGGCGAUGGAUACUGGCGAGCUAGAGUACGGUAGAGGAGAGUGGAAUUCCCGGUGUAGCAGUGAAAUGCGUAGAGAUCGGGAGGAACAUCAGUUGCGAAGGCGGCUCUCUGGACCAGUACUGACGCUGAGGCACGAAAGCGUGGGGAGCAAACAGG
RNAcentral lists this ribosomal RNA (253 nucleotides) under uncultured bacterium. RNAcentral describes it as "partial 16S ribosomal RNA". It matches the Rfam family "Bacterial small subunit ribosomal RNA", at positions 524 to 776 of the family's 1533-position model. The record is from RNAcentral.